UACGUAGGGUGCAAGCGUUGUCCGGAAUUAUUGGGCGUAAAGAGCUUGUAGGCGGUUUGUCGCGUCUGCUGUGAAAUUUCGGGGCUCAACCCCGAACUUGCAGUGGGUACGGGCAGGCUAGAGUGUGGUAGGGGAGAUCGGAAUUCCUGGUGUAGCGGUGAAAUGCGCAGAUAUCAGGAGGAACACCGGUGGCGAAGGCGGAUCUCUGGGCCAUUACUGACGCUGAGGAGCGAAAGCGUGGGGAGCGAACAGG
RNAcentral lists this ribosomal RNA (253 nucleotides) under uncultured bacterium. RNAcentral's name for it is "partial 16S ribosomal RNA". It matches the Rfam family "Bacterial small subunit ribosomal RNA", at positions 524 to 776 of the family's 1533-position model. The record is from RNAcentral.